RNAcentral lists this ribosomal RNA (304 nucleotides) under uncultured bacterium. RNAcentral's name for it is "partial 16S ribosomal RNA". It matches the Rfam family "Bacterial small subunit ribosomal RNA", at positions 506 to 807 of the family's 1533-position model. The record is from RNAcentral.
CAGCAGCCGCCGCGGGAAUACGGAGGGCGCGAGCGUUACCCGGAUUUACUGGGCGUAAAGGGCGUGUAGGCGGCCUGGGGCGUCCCAUGUGAAAGGCCACGGCUCAACCGUGGAGGAGCGUGGGAUACGCUCAGGCUAGAGGGUGGGAGAGGGUGGUGGAAUUCCCGGAGUAGCGGUGAAAUGCGCAGAUACCGGGAGGAACGCCGAUGGCGAAGGCAGCCACCUGGUCCACUUCUGACGCUGAGGCGCGAAAGCGUGGGGAGCAAACCGGAUUAGAUACCCGUGUAGUCCCUGUCUCUUAUAC